GAGAGAGGAAGAAAGAAAGGGAUACAAGAGAGAGGGAGAGGAGGGAGAAGAGCGAGAAGGAGAGAUGAAUAACUGUGUGACAGGUACAAUGAAAAAGCAGCGGAGGCUCUUUGGAGCGGUGUGGUAGGAGAGGCGUGUGUGCGGUGUGGCGCAGCCCUGCGUUUGGGUCAUACAUCACACUAAUACAGCAGGAGGACACAGCCCAGCACAGCGCUAUGCAGAGUAGGCAGCAGACAGGCAGGGGGGAGAAUAAUGUGCUGCGUUUGCACCCGCUCAAUCUGAUUGAAACACACAGCGCAGAGGCUACAUUUACUCACCCCCCACACGCACACUUCAUGAAUCCCCUCAGCCUCACUUUUAUAUUCUCCCUAAAAAACAAUAAACAGCCUCAAGGGCUUUUCAUCACAGGGAGAGGAGAUUGUUUCUACGAGUUACUCUACGUGUUGCACCGCUGUAGCCUACCACUACUCAAGGCCACACAAUUGAAACUAGUGUGGUUUACAGAAUAAUGAUCAAGGCAGGCAAUUAAAGAAUCCUCAGGUGGCCAUUAUGAAUACACUUGGCAUGUUGUUUUGCUUCUGUCUUUUUAUUUUGAGCUUCAAGUCAGUGUGGAGAUCAUGCCGUGUUGAUUAAAGAGAGAGAGGGAGACCCAUUUCAAAGGUUCCUUAUAUUUGUCAUGCCAAAUUAGCCCCUCAAUAAAUCCCUUUUUGGUUCUUAGUAUUUUCUAUAUGAGCUUUGGCAGGUGUUGGUAUUAUGGAUAUCAUUUGGUGCUUUUCUGGGGAAGGAGCAGAGUUUGAAGGGGGUGAGAGCAGCCCCCCAGAAUCAUUAUUGUAGAUGAUGGUCCUAUAAAUGUUUUAGCUCUCUUCAAUGUGUGCCAUAAUAUAACCUUUCAUUUAAGCACGCCUUGCUUUUUUCACAUCCAGAGUGAUUCCCUUUGAUCACUGGAACGCGACUCAAAGUAUUUAAGAACGCCCUGAGACUUUCUCUCAUACCAAUGACAUUCUCUCUCUCUUUCUGUCUCUCUCUCCCUCUCUCUCUCUGCUGUGAUGCAAUGUGGCUAACUAGUGAGUGCAUUGAAACAGAGCUGUAUAACGGUGUGAUGAUAUCACUCCUCAGUAAUGGAGGGUUUUGUGACAACCAUGAUGUGUGAUCUUAUAGCCCUGACAUGCCAAACACUCCAUCCGCUGAGCUAGGCAGAUGAAAUUCCACAUGCCAAUCACAUUCUGAGGCUGCCCAGCUCUGAUGAAUGAUAUGUAUUCAUGUUACAUGUAAAUCUGGUUGAGUGCAGCGCUCUAAUUGCCUGAUGGUCACAGAGACCAGACAGACUGAUAACCACCUGGAUGACAGUUAUAUUAGCAUGUAGCUUCUGCCAGUUCCCAUCUCUCAGCACCUCUCACCCCUUCACUGAGGUGUCAUCAUGACCUCAAGAGGUGAUUAAGGAGAAGGGCCGGGCAUCCACUGACACCUAAAAAGAGACCUAUAAAGGUGAUGAUGAGGAGCAUUUAAAUACCACCCACUCACACGCUGCUCUUCUAUCUCCCUAGGCGUUAAGGUGGCCGCAUGCUUCCCAGCCGAAACAGUUUGGAAGAGUUUGUGUAUAUAUUAUGAUGACAUUUUGUGACGUUUUUGUUCGUUCGGAGUUCGGGCACACCAGUUUUUUCCUCAAGGGUCAGCCAAAGUUCGGAAGCCAAAGUCUACGCCCCUUCGUCCUUUACUGGUGAACUGUAGGGGUGACGCGAGUUUCAGCUUCGUGACGAUUCAGCCCGAAACUCAGUGUGGAUUCAACAUGGCGAACGACAACGUCAAUCAUCCAUUGACCGAGGAGGUACAAAAGUACAGUACCUGCACCAUCUACGAUUCCCUAUCCAUGCAUUAUAUAAAGACCAGCAGGUAAAGGCCAAUUCAUGGAGGGAGAUUGCGGAGACUCUGGGGUACGACCCAACCACCAAAAAGGGGGGUAAGGGUUCACGACAAGUUCGUCAAGGGAAAGAAAAGAAGCUAGGGCUGCAGUGGAGCUGCUACACCAGACAUGUUGCUGCUGGCUGGUUCGGCACGUGAAACAUGAGAACACUGAAAGCAACAUUCUGUCUUCACCAAAGGAUGGGGCACAAACACCAGUGAAUGGAGACAGCACCUGGUUUUGUUCUCUGCGUCCCAGCACUGCCUGUUCACCAGCCUCAAGCACUACCUCUGCCCCAGUACUGACUGGUGAUUGGCCCCCAGCACAUCUCCCACACUGAGCUGCAGUGCAGAAUUAGAAACAAUGUCCAUGCAGGACCUGGGAAGCUCUAUCCUGGACCUACUCCACUGGCUAGCUCCUCACCAAUCCCACAGAGCAGCACCAAAGAAAGGAGAAAAGAGCUGCAGACUCAGCCCUUGACACAUCAUUCGCAAAGGCAUUGCAGAUGAUUGAAGACCGAUCUCAAGAUCAGGAGAACGUCAUGCACCGAGCCACCAGCUUGUCCCAGAGGUAAAUAAAUAAUCAUUUCAGACUCUCCUCCUUUAGUCUGAUCCCCUUUUCUCUCUCCUGAUGUCCUUUUUCUUCCUCUCCUCACCAUGCACACUGCUCUCCAGACACUCCUAAUUUCCCCUCUCUUCUCAUCCUCUCCACCGGGUCCUGGCACCUAUUGCUGAUUUCAUGGAUGAACUCUCGCCAAAACUCCGGGAGGAAUUCGAUCACCAGCUGCAUGAGUUUGGUCAUGACUUUAAGAAGAGGACAUGGACCGAACGACUGGGCCCACAACUUGUUGUGUUGUUUUGAUCAGACAGCUCAGGAGUCAGACCCUAGAUGCGUUUAUUCAAUAGAUACUUUUGUUAUUUACAUGUCUGUUCAUAACAGACACUUUCUUUUGUACUAUUGUUCCCAAAAUAUUUAUAUUGCUCAUAAAUAUUUGUCUACACUCUUGACACUUUAUAUUUGACCCUUUUGUUGUUGACAUGUCUGUUCUCAGCAGACACGUUUGUAUUGUGGUUUACUUUCAGAAGCAAGAAUAAAGGUUUAUUUGUGUGCUGAAAAAA
This is a long non-coding RNA of Oncorhynchus tshawytscha (Chinook salmon), 3018 nucleotides long. RefSeq lists it as uncharacterized. NCBI's taxonomy places the organism in Eukaryota, Metazoa, Chordata, Actinopteri, Salmoniformes, Salmonidae. The record is from RefSeq and is a predicted model, not a curated record. The transcript has 2 exons.